This 352-nucleotide long non-coding RNA is filed under the name Homo sapiens (human). Its description in RNAcentral is "HSALNT0354823". Lineage: Eukaryota; Metazoa; Chordata; Mammalia; Primates; Hominidae. The record is from RNAcentral.
GCUGCAAGGAAAUCUGGCGCGGUUCAAUACCUCGUCUAGCCUGGGUUCCAGUAUCUAAUUUUUUUUUUGUUUUAACUGACAAACUCAUUUCUCUACUGGGACAGGAUGCUGUGCUGGCUGGAAGUUCCAUUUCUACAGCAAGAAUCCUAUCUGGAAACACAGAAGUUGUCCUCUAGCCACAGCAGCUCGAACUUUUUUGAUUGUCGUUGCUGCUUUCUCCCAUCACCCCCAUCCCCUUUUGACAAAGAUCCAACUGUAAAAAGUCUUACGUAACAGUUCAGGACUACUUCGGUUCUUUUACUGGGUAAGCACUUUCAAUUUUUUUUUUUUAACUAAAAGCCAUUUUAAAAUU